This 367-nucleotide ribosomal RNA is filed under the name uncultured Pseudomonas sp. RNAcentral describes it as "bacterial SSU rRNA". It matches the Rfam family "Bacterial small subunit ribosomal RNA", at positions 1018 to 1382 of the family's 1533-position model. Lineage: Bacteria; Pseudomonadati; Pseudomonadota; Gammaproteobacteria; Pseudomonadales; Pseudomonadaceae. The record is from RNAcentral.
UUCGGGAAGCGAGCGUACACAGGUGCUGCAUGGCUGUCGCCAGCUCGUGUCGUGAGAUGUUGGGUUAAGUCCCGUAACGAGCGCAACCCUUGUCCUUAGUUACCAGCACGUUAUGGUGGGCACUCUAAGGAGACUGCCGGUGACAAACCGGAGGAAGGUGGGGAUGACGUCAAGUCAUCAUGGCCCUUACGGCCUGGGCUACACACGUGCUACAAUGGUCGGUACAAAGGGUUGCCAAGCCGCGAGGUGGAGCUAAUCCCAUAAAACCGAUCGUAGUCCGGAUCGCAGUCUGCAACUCGACUGCGUGAAGUCGGAAUCGCUAGUAAUCGUGAAUCAGAAUGUCACGGUGAAUACGUUCCCGGGCCUU